AGAGUUUGAUCAUGGCUCAGGAUGAACGCUAGCGGCAGGCCUAAUACAUGCAAGUCGUGGGGCAGCGCGGGUAGCAAUACCUGGCGGCGACCGGCAAACGGGUGCGGAACACGUACGCAACCUUCCUUCGAGUGGGGGAUAGCCCAGGGAAACUUGGAUUAAUACCCCGUAAUAUUAUGAAGUGGCAUCACUUUAUAAUUAUAGCUACGGCGCUUGAAGAUGGGCGUGCGCCUGAUUAGGUAGUUGGCGGGGUAACGGCCCACCAAGCCUACGAUCAGUAACUGGUGUGAGAGCACGACCAGUCACACGGGCACUGAGACACGGCCCAGACCCCUACGGGAGGCAGCAGUGGGGAAUUUUGGACAAUGGGCGCAAGCCUGAUCCAGCCAUGCCGCGUGAGUGAAGAAGGCCUUCGGGUUGUAAAGCUCUUUCGGCCGGGACGAAAAGGUUCGUGAUAACACCGCGAACUCAUGACGGUACCGGAAGAAGAAGCACCGGCUAACUACGUGCCAGCAGCCGCGGUAAU
Molecule: ribosomal RNA, 526 nt
Filed under: uncultured bacterium
Lineage: Bacteria
Description: bacterial SSU rRNA
Rfam family: Bacterial small subunit ribosomal RNA
Source: RNAcentral